Otolemur garnettii (small-eared galago) is the source of this 104-nucleotide small nuclear RNA. The record is from Ensembl. Lineage: Eukaryota; Metazoa; Chordata; Mammalia; Primates; Galagidae.
GUGCUCGCUUCAGCAGCACAUAUACUAAAAUUGGAACAAUACAGAGAUUAGCAUGGUCCCUGCGCAAGGAUGAAAUGUAAAUUCAUGAAGCGUUCCAUAUUUUU